Molecule: ribosomal RNA, 486 nt
Filed under: uncultured bacterium
Lineage: Bacteria
Description: bacterial SSU rRNA
Rfam family: Bacterial small subunit ribosomal RNA
Source: RNAcentral
UGACGCUGAGGUACGAAAGCAUGGGGAGCAAACAGGAUUAGAUACCCUGGUAGUCCAUGCCGUAAACGAUGUCUACUAGCCGUUGGGGCCUUUGAGGCUUUAGUGGCGCAGCUAACGCGAUAAGUAGACCGCCUGGGGAGUACGGUCGCAAGACUAAAACUCAAAUGAAUUGACGGGGGCCCGCACAAGCGGUGGAGCAUGUGGUUUAAUUCGAUGCAACGCGAAGAACCUUACCUGGCCUUGACAUACUAGAAACUUUCCAGAGAUGGAUCGGUGCCUUCGGGAAUCUAGAUACAGGUGCUGCAUGGCUGUCGUCAGCUCGUGUCGUGAGAUGUUGGGUUAAGUCCCGCAACGAGCGCAACCCUUUUCCUUACUUGCCAGCAUUUCGGAUGGGAACUUUAAGGAUACUGCCAGUGACAAACUGGAGGAAGGCGGGGACGACGUCAAGUCAUCAUGGCCCUUACGGCCAGGGCUACACACGUGCUA